CCUACGGGUGGCUGCAGUGGGGAAUAUUGGACAAUGGGCGAAAGCCUGAUCCAGCCAUGCCGCGUGUGUGAAGAAGGCCUUCGGGUUGUAAAGCACUUUCAGUGGGGAAGAAAGCCUUGGGGCUAAUACCCUCGAGGAAGGACAUCACCCACAGAAGAAGCACCGGCUAACUCCGUGCCAGCAGCCGCGGUAAUACGGAGGGUGCGAGCGUUAAUCGGAAUUACUGGGCGUAAAGCGCGCGUAGGCGGUCUGAUAAGCCGGUUGUGAAAGCCCCGGGCUCAACCUGGGAACGGCAUCCGGAACUGUCAGGCUUGAGUGCAGGAGAGGAAGGUAGAAUUCCCGGUGUAGCGGUGAAAUGCGUAGAGAUCGGGAGGAAUACCAGUGGCGAAGGCGGCCUUCUGGACUGACACUGACGCUGAGGUGCGAAAGCGUGGGUAGCAAACAGGAUUAGAUACCCUAGUAGUC
This 465-nucleotide ribosomal RNA is filed under the name Vreelandella stevensii. Its description in RNAcentral is "partial 16S ribosomal RNA". It matches the Rfam family "Bacterial small subunit ribosomal RNA", at positions 338 to 795 of the family's 1533-position model. The record is from RNAcentral. Lineage: Bacteria; Pseudomonadati; Pseudomonadota; Gammaproteobacteria; Oceanospirillales; Halomonadaceae.